GACGAACCGUGCGAACGUUGUUCGGAUUCACUGGGCUUAAAGGGCGCGUAGGCGGUGGACCAAGUCCGGGGUGAAAUCUUUCGGCUCAACCGGAAAAGUGCCUCGGAUACUGGUUCACUGGAGGGAGGUAGGGGUGCGCGGAACUUCCGGUGGAGCGGUGAAAUGCGUAGAUAUCGGAAGGAACGCCGGUGGCGAAAGCGGCGCACUGGACCUCUUCUGACGCUGAGGCGCGAAAGCUAGGGGAGCAAACGGG
Molecule: ribosomal RNA, 253 nt
Filed under: uncultured bacterium
Lineage: Bacteria
Also listed under: 1 other name
Description: partial 16S ribosomal RNA
Rfam family: Bacterial small subunit ribosomal RNA
Source: RNAcentral